Molecule: non-coding RNA, 45 nt
Filed under: Schistosoma curassoni
Lineage: Eukaryota; Metazoa; Platyhelminthes; Trematoda; Strigeidida; Schistosomatidae
Source: RNAcentral
AUCCAUCUGACGAGUCCCGAAUAGGACGAAAUGCGCGUCCUGGAU